Long non-coding RNA from Rhinichthys klamathensis goyatoka, 631 nucleotides. RefSeq lists it as uncharacterized. The transcript is spliced from 2 exons. Lineage: Eukaryota; Metazoa; Chordata; Actinopteri; Cypriniformes; Leuciscidae. The record is from RefSeq and is a predicted model, not a curated record.
UGUACCCACCCCAUAUGGCACUUUUCAUACUGUAAUAUGACAUUUGACUUGUACGAUGAUCAGUGAUGGGGAUUGUAAAAUUGUGAUGAAAACACACAUAGGGAUAUCAGCGUUUCUGUUACGUUGUUUUUAUUAAGUUGCCUUCAAAUUAACAAGCAAACACCUCAAUUAUCUCUUUCCCCCCCAAAUCCAUUCCAAGCCAUAUUUAUAUGCUAUGGAUGGUCACUGCUGAAAGUUAUAAAAUCUUUACAGGAAUUUUGCAAAAAAAUCAGGAAAGGCAACAAAGCAAAAAAAGCCAUUACAAAAAUAAGAUUUUAAAAUAUUGUGUCAUUGUUAAGGUGAAAGUAAAGUGCUUUUGAUGAAUGAUGUUUUCAUUACUUAAGACAGAUGAAUGUUUAUAAUAAUUGAGAGCACAGAACACAGGCUGACAUCCUUUCAUUCCUAACAACCAGUCCGUUGGGAGUAUUGUGAUCGGUUGGUUUAAUGAUGUUUGUGAGGGGGUGUUUUCCCUUUUCAAAGGCACAUUGCUGUAAGAAGCUGACAUUGAUUUGAAUCCAUUCAGUCCAAUUUUAAAUACUUUACAGUGAGUGUGUGCAGGGGGAGGCAAUGCAAAAGCAUCAGACCAACCAAA